RNAcentral lists this ribosomal RNA (440 nucleotides) under uncultured bacterium. RNAcentral's name for it is "SSU rRNA". It matches the Rfam family "Bacterial small subunit ribosomal RNA", at positions 370 to 808 of the family's 1533-position model. The record is from RNAcentral.
UAUGGACGAGAGUCUGAACCAGCCAGUAGCGUGCAGGAUGACGGCCCUAUGGGUUGUAAACUGCUUUUAUAAGGGAAUAAAGUGAGUCUCGUGAGACUUUUUGCAUGUACCUUAUGAAUAAGGACCGGCUAAUUCCGUGCCAGCAGCCGCGGUAAUACGGAAGGUCCGGGCGUUAUCCGGAUUUAUUGGGUUUAAAGGGAGCGUAGGCCGGAGAUUAAGCGUGUUGUGAAAUGUAGAUGCUCAACAUCUGAACUGCAGCGCGAACUGGUUUCCUUGAGUACGCACAAAGUGGGCGGAAUUCGUGGUGUAGCGGUGAAAUGCUUAGAUAUCACGAAGAACUCCGAUUGCGAAGGCAGCUCACUGGAGCGCAACUGACGCUGAAGCUCGAAAGUGCGGGUAUCGAACAGGAUUAGAUACCCUGGUAGUCCAAGGGCGAAUUC